This 460-nucleotide ribosomal RNA is filed under the name uncultured bacterium. Its description in RNAcentral is "partial 16S ribosomal RNA". It matches the Rfam family "Bacterial small subunit ribosomal RNA", at positions 338 to 795 of the family's 1533-position model. The record is from RNAcentral.
CCUACGGGGUGCAGCAGUGAGGAAUAUUGGUCAAUGGCCGGAAGGCUGAACCAGCCAUGCCGCGUGCAGGUCAGUGCCCUAUGGGCGUUAAACUUCUUUUGUGCGGGAGCAAUAAUGGUCACGUGUGGCCAGACGAGAGUACCGUACGAAUAAGCAUCGGCUAACUCCGGGCCAGCAGCCGCGGUAAUACGGGGGAUGCAAGCGUUAUCCGGAGUUAUUGGGGUUAAAGGGUGCGUAGGCGGUGAGGUAAGUCAGCGGUGAAAUGCCCCCGCUCAACGGGGUGAAGUGCCAUUGAUGCUGGCUUGCUGGAAUGUGUAUGCCGUGGGAGGAAUGUGUGGUGUAGCGGUGAAAUGCAUAGAUAUCACACAGAACACCGAUUGCGAAGGCAUCUCACGAAUCCGCGAUUGACGCUGAUGCACGAAAGCGUGGGUAUCAAACAGGAUUAGAUACCCGAGUAGUC